ACUAACAGAGCUAACAAGUUCUUUACCUUAACCAAAAGGUCUAGGUAAUCUUGUUAAACUCUAUUGUGCUAGGGAUAGAGCAUUGCAAUUAUUACUCUUUAAU
RNAcentral lists this ribosomal RNA (103 nucleotides) under Plenodomus lingam JN3. RNAcentral's name for it is "eukaryotic small subunit ribosomal RNA". It matches the Rfam family "Eukaryotic small subunit ribosomal RNA", at positions 1502 to 1604 of the family's 1831-position model. Lineage: Eukaryota; Fungi; Ascomycota; Dothideomycetes; Pleosporales; Leptosphaeriaceae. The record is from Rfam by way of RNAcentral.